RNAcentral lists this transfer RNA (71 nucleotides) under Skermania pinensis. RNAcentral's name for it is "Skermania piniformis tRNA-Gly(ccc)". It matches the Rfam family "tRNA". From Rfam's summary of the family: Transfer RNA (tRNA) molecules are approximately 80 nucleotides in length. Their secondary structure includes four short double-helical elements and three loops (D, anti-codon, and T loops). Further hydrogen bonds mediate the characteristic L-shaped molecular structure. tRNAs have two regions of fundamental functional importance: the anti-codon, which is responsible for specific mRNA codon recognition, and the 3' end, to which the tRNAs corresponding amino acid is attached (by aminoacyl-tRNA synthetases). tRNAs cope with the degeneracy of the genetic code in two manners: having more than one tRNA (with a specific anti-codon) for a particular amino acid; and 'wobble' base-pairing, i.e. permitting non-standard base-pairing at the 3rd anti-codon position. Lineage: Bacteria; Bacillati; Actinomycetota; Actinomycetes; Mycobacteriales; Gordoniaceae. The record is from RNAcentral.
GCCGAUGUAGUUCAGUGGUAGAACAUCAGCUUCCCAAGCUGAGAAUGCGGGUUCGAUUCCCGUCAUCGGCU